AUGUGCGGAUCGGGCUCUGAUACC
This 24-nucleotide non-coding RNA is filed under the name Arabidopsis thaliana (thale cress). The record is from RNAcentral. Lineage: Eukaryota; Viridiplantae; Streptophyta; Magnoliopsida; Brassicales; Brassicaceae.